This 1701-nucleotide ribosomal RNA is filed under the name Escherichia coli. Its description in RNAcentral is "partial 23S ribosomal RNA". It matches the Rfam family "Bacterial large subunit ribosomal RNA", at positions 1 to 1744 of the family's 2925-position model. Lineage: Bacteria; Pseudomonadati; Pseudomonadota; Gammaproteobacteria; Enterobacterales; Enterobacteriaceae. The record is from RNAcentral.
GGUUAAGCGACUAAGCGUACACGGUGGAUGCCCUGGCAGUCAGAGGCGAUGAAGGACGUGCUAAUCUGCGAUAAGCGUCGGUAAGGUGAUAUGAACCGUUAUAACCGGCGAUUUCCGAAUGGGGAAACCCAGUGUGUUUCGACACACUAUCAUUAACUGAAUCCAUAGGUUAAUGAGGCGAACCGGGGGAACUGAAACAUCUAAGUACCCCGAGGAAAAGAAAUCAACCGAGAUUCCCCCAGUAGCGGCGAGCGAACGGGGAGCAGCCCAGAGCCUGAAUCAGUGUGUGUGUUAGUGGAAGCGUCUGGAAAGGCGCGCGAUACAGGGUGACAGCCCCGUACACAAAAAUGCACAUGCUGUGAGCUCGAUGAGUAGGGCGGGACACGUGGUAUCCUGUCUGAAUAUGGGGGGACCAUCCUCCAAGGCUAAAUACUCCUGACUGACCGAUAGUGAACCAGUACCGUGAGGGAAAGGCGAAAAGAACCCCGGCGAGGGGAGUGAAAAAGAACCUGAAACCGUGUACGUACAAGCAGUGGGAGCACGCUUAGGCGUGUGACUGCGUACCUUUUGUAUAAUGGGUCAGCGACUUAUAUUCUGUAGCAAGGUUAACCGAAUAGGGGAGCCGAAGGGAAACCGAGUCUUAACUGGGCGUUAAGUUGCAGGGUAUAGACCCGAAACCCGGUGAUCUAGCCAUGGGCAGGUUGAAGGUUGGGUAACACUAACUGGAGGACCGAACCGACUAAUGUUGAAAAAUUAGCGGAUGACUUGUGGCUGGGGGUGAAAGGCCAAUCAAACCGGGAGAUAGCUGGUUCUCCCCGAAAGCUAUUUAGGUAGCGCCUCGUGAAUUCAUCUCCGGGGGUAGAGCACUGUUUCGGCAAGGGGGUCAUCCCGACUUACCAACCCGAUGCAAACUGCGAAUACCGGAGAAUGUUAUCACGGGAGACACACGGCGGGUGCUAACGUCCGUCGUGAAGAGGGAAACAACCCAGACCGCCAGCUAAGGUCCCAAAGUCAUGGUUAAGUGGGAAACGAUGUGGGAAGGCCCAGACAGCCAGGAUGUUGGCUUAGAAGCAGCCAUCAUUUAAAGAAAGCGUAAUAGCUCACUGGUCGAGUCGGCCUGCGCGGAAGAUGUAACGGGGCUAAACCAUGCACCGAAGCUGCGGCAGCGACGCUUAUGCGUUGUUGGGUAGGGGAGCGUUCUGUAAGCCUGCGAAGGUGUGCUGUGAGGCAUGCUGGAGGUAUCAGAAGUGCGAAUGCUGACAUAAGUAACGAUAAAGCGGGUGAAAAGCCCGCUCGCCGGAAGACCAAGGGUUCCUGUCCAACGUUAAUCGGGGCAGGGUGAGUCGACCCCUAAGGCGAGGCCGAAAGGCGUAGUCGAUGGGAAACAGGUUAAUAUUCCUGUACUUGGUGUUACUGCGAAGGGGGGACGGAGAAGGCUAUGUUGGCCGGGCGACGGUUGUCCCGGUUUAAGCGUGUAGGCUGGUUUUCCAGGCAAAUCCGGAAAAUCAAGGCUGAGGCGUGAUGACGAGGCACUACGGUGCUGAAGCAACAAAUGCCCUGCUUCCAGGAAAAGCCUCUAAGCAUCAGGUAACAUCAAAUCGUACCCCAAACCGACACAGGUGGUCAGGUAGAGAAUACCAAGGCGCUUGAGAGAACUCGGGUGAAGGAACUAGGCAAAAUGGUGCCGUAACUUCGGGAGAA